CCCUUAGAUGUCCUGGGCUGCACGCGCGCUACACUGAUGUGUCCAGUAAGCACCUAACCUCUUCCGAACGGAACGGGUAACCUUUGCAAAGCACAUCGUGAUGGGGAUAGAUUAUUGCAAUUAUUAGUCUUGAACGAGGAAUUCCUAGUAAGCACAAGUCAUCAGCUUGUGUUGAUUACGUCCCUGCCCUUUGUACACACCGCCCGUCGCUCCUACCGAUUGAAUGUUCCGGUGAGCUCUUCGGACUGCGCGGUCUGCAGUUUCUGCGUUCCGUGCGGAAAGUUGCGCAAACCUUAACAUUUAGAGGAAGGAGAAGUCGUAACA
RNAcentral lists this ribosomal RNA (324 nucleotides) under uncultured eukaryote. RNAcentral describes it as "partial 18S ribosomal RNA". It matches the Rfam family "Eukaryotic small subunit ribosomal RNA", at positions 1470 to 1796 of the family's 1831-position model. The record is from RNAcentral.